UAUAUAUUACGAUAUUUUGCCUUGGCCUUGAAUGAACACUUGAUGCAUAUAAUCACAGCAGUAUGAUGAUUCUAUGUGUCUACAUUAAAACAUUCUUCUUCAUACUGCAUUAAUAUAUGCUACUUUUAAACUUUCAUGCAGAGAGGAAAAUCACAACUAAGUCAAUUGACCAAAACUGUAUUUAUUAAAUACUCUUCAAUCUCUCAAGUGUGAAUUUUUAAAUGAAAUAAAUUAUUAGUGUUGCUACCUUUUUGUAGUAACACUUCUGCUGUACACUUUGCAUUGAUUGAUUGAUACUUUUAUCAGUAGAUUGCACAGUUUAGAACAUAUUACGUACAAUUGACCACUAAAUGGUAACACCCGAAUAAGUUUUUCAACUUGUUUAAGUCGGGGUCCACGUUAAUCAAUUCAUGGUAAAAAUAUAUGCUAUCAGCAUAAUACAGUCAUCAUCCUAGUAUAUACAUUGAACAGCAUAUUGCUGUUGUCUGCUGAAUAUCUUCCCACUUGGAGCCAAACCACCGCCAGAUGAUGGACCCCCGGCUCUUUAUGUUGGGCAUUUAUUGUUCUUCCUCCAUUUGUGAUAAGUUUCGCACCAGCUCUCUCUCUCUGAUCGGCGAGAGCUAUGACGCUAGACUCGCGAGAGUAUGUGACGUAUGUAAGAAGGCGGGCUUGUUUUCCGUGUCUGUCAGAAUGAGAGACGAGGAGGAGGAGAAACGCCUCUUGUGUGAUGCACGCAGCUAAAAGCAACUUGACCUGCCUCAGCUAACGCUAACCUUGCUAACGUUAUCUGUCGGCGAGAGCGUGUAACGCUAGACACGCGACAGUAUGUGACGUAUGUAAGAAGGCGGGCUUUUUUUACGUCUCUGUGAGAAGGACGGACGAGAAGGAAUGAGGCACGCCAGUAAUGCACGCAGCUUAAAGCCACGGUGUGAGAACAUAUAAUCGAAUAUUACGAUAUAGUAAUUUUCUAUAUCGCACAGAGACAAACCUGCGAUAUAUCGUAUAUAUGGAUAUAUCGCCCAGCCCUAUGUUAUAGUUAUUUGAAUGACUCUUACCAUAAUAUGUUACGUUGACAUACCAGGCACCUUCUCAUUUGGUUAUUUAUGCGUCAUAUAACGUACACUUAUUCAGCCUGUUGUUCACUAUUCUUUAUUUAUUUUAAAUUGCCUUUCAAAUGUCUAUUCUUGGUGUUGGAUUUUAUCAAAUAAACUUCCCCCAAAAAUGCGACAUAUAUUCCAGUGUGACUUAUGUUUUUUUCCUUCUUUAUUAUGCAUUUUCGGCAGGUGCGACUUAUACUCCAGAGCGACUUAUACUCCGAAAAAUACGGUAGUUCUAAUGUGUUUAAUCAAAGAAAAGUGAAAAAACAUCAUUGUAAUUCCUGCAUCAAUGGAACAAAGUUUGGAUACCCACUGAUCCCUAUUCACUGCUGUAACGUGCAUGCCAGGUCGGUAGUUGGGGGCAUACUUGUCCUUUCAUGCAAAACUGAAAACAUUUUUUUACAGUUUUGUAAUGGAAAAACUCAAGCACGUUUUGUAAUCUAUUCUCAGUUAAUAACAGUCUUCUCCUCAACGGAUUUUGGUAAGAGGCGGAAGAAAACAUUCUAAGAAGGGGAGUUUCGGGCGGAGGGGGGAAUAAAGUAAAACAAACUCAAAGUGUGUGACCAACAUGUGACCUUCCUCUCGAGUCUGAAGCACAUUCAGACAACAUCAAAAAGAGGAGUAGAACAGCCAGUGGGCGGCCUUUUGCAGGAUUAAGCCAACAGUGGAGAAAGAGCGUACAAAAGACCAAUAGGGGAGGACAAGGAAGAGAUUAAAAUAAAAAGAGAGAGGGCAAGGUGGAGGGGAGGGUUAGAUAUGACCCCAUUUCGGUGGCUUGACAAGUGGAGGAAGUGUCACUUCCAGGGAGCAAGAAAAGCCGCGACUGGGAUGAUGCAGCAGAAGCUGAGAUUUCCAAGACUUUUAAGGCAGUACAGAUCCCACACCGACUCCUAACACUUGAGCUUUGAUACAAGCCGUCAGCCUUAAACUCUUUAAUGUGCUCUAAUCUGUAUACAGUGUCAUGUGCUACAACACGCUGACAGAAGCAGAUUAAAGUUUCACAGCCAAUCAGCGGGCACAAAUAGGGAAUCCCCAAUAAAUCUACAGGGGAGGGAGGAGGAAGACGAAAAAAGUAAAAAUAGCCCUGGUGUGGCCAGUUCAGCCAAUGGUUAAAGCCCACCGAGAUGUAUAAAUAAAUAAACAGAGCGAAAAUAAACAGGAGGGUAACAUGUCCUAAGGGCAUCCCCUAUUGGCAUAGGCAGAAUUUCUUAUUCCUUCCCCGCGCUGUGCAGCUCCCACACAGACGAGAUCGCACACACCAUUUGAAGUUAUUUGCUUUUUCUAUCCUGCGUCUUCAACUCGUGGCUCUGACGUUGCUCUCUUCACUUUCCUUGUCUCUCAUUAAUGAUCUCAUUACUCAGUCUCCUUUUCCUGAGGCCCAGAAUGAAGGUAGUUCCAGAGAUUGGCCUAUAAGCGCUGCCAAGAAAACGGCACGUGCUACAACCACACCAGAAUCGGGAGUUUUAGGGAACGAGUUAGGUAAAAGGCCAUAUUUGUCAGGAGUCCCUACUACAAACACGUUGGGAACUUGUGUUAGAUGUAAAUAUAAACGGAAUACUCUGAUUUGCAAAUCAUUUUCAACUCAUAUUCAGUUGAAUAUGCUACAAAGACAACAUAUUUGAUGUUCAAACUCAAACAUUUUUUUUGUUUGCAAAUAAUCAUUAACUUUAGAAUUUGAUGCCAGCAACAUGUGACAAAGAAGUUGGGAAAGGUGGCAAUAAAUACUGAUAAAGUUUAGGAAUGCUCAUCAAACAGUUAUUUGGAACAUCCCACAGGUGUGCAGGCUAAUUGGGAACAGGUGGGCCAUGAUUGGGUAUAAAAGCAGCUUCAAUGAAAUGCUAAAUAAUUCACAAACAAGGAUGGGGCGAGGGUCACCAAUUUGUAAGCAAAUUAGUCGAACAGUUUUAAAACAACAUUUCUCAACGAGCUAUUGCAAGGAAUUUAGGGAUUAUACCAUCUACGGUCCAUAAAAUCAUCAAAAGGUUCAGAGAAUCUGGAGAAAACACUGCACGUAAGCGAUGAUAUUACGGACCUUUGAUCCCUCAGGCGGUACUGCAUCAAAAACCGACAUCAGUGUGUAAAGGAUUUCACCACAUGGGCUCAGGAACACUUCAUAAAACCACUGUCAGUAACUACAGUUGGUUGCUACAUCGGUAAGUGCAAGUUAAAACUCUGCUAUGCAAAGCAAAACUCAUUUAUCAACAACACCAAGGAACGCCGCUGGCUUCGCUGGGCCAGAGCUCAUCUAAGAUGGACUGAUGCAAAGUUGAAAAGUGUUCCGUGGUCUGACGAGUCCACAUUUCAAAUUAUAUUUGGAAACUGUGGACUUGGUGUCCUCCGGAACAAAGAGGAAAAUAACCAUCCGGAUUGUUAUAGGCGCAAAGUUCAAAAGCCAGCAUCUGUGAUGGUAUGGGGGUGUAUUAGUGCCCAAGGCAUGGGUAACUUACACAUCUGUGAAGGCACCAUUAAUGCUAUAUGGUCCACACAGGUUUUGGACAACAUAUGUUGUCAUCCAAGCAACGUUAUCAUGGACGCCCCUGCUUAUUUCAGCAAGACAAUGCCAAGCCACGUGUUACAAUUGCGCGGUUUCGUAGUAAAAGAGUGCGGGUACUUUCCUGGCCCGCCUGCAAUCCAGACCUGUCUCCCAUCGAAAAUGUGUGGCGCAUUAUGAAGCGUAAAAUACGACUGCGGAGAUCCCGGACCGUUGAACGACUAAAGCUCUACAUAAAACAAGAAUGAGAAAGAAUUCCACUUUCAAACCUACAACAAUUAGUUUCCUCAGUUCCCAAACGUUUAAUGAGUGUUGUCAAAAGAAAAGGUGAUGUAAGACAGUGGUGAACAUGCCCUUUCCCAACUACUUAGGCACAUGUUGCAGCCAUGAAAUUCUAAGUUAAUUAUUAUUUGCAAAAAAAAAUAAAGUUUAUGAGUUUGAACAUCAAAUAUCUUGUCUUUGUAGUGCAUUCAACUGAAUAUGGGUUGAAAAUUAUUUGCAAAUCACUGUAUUCCGUUUAUAUUUACAUCAAACACAAUUUCCCAACUCAUAUGGAAACGGGGUUUGUAAAACUAAAAACACAAAUUAAAAAUGAAGACGCAAAAUAACUUACCGGCAAACUGGAUGGCCGGCCCUGCAUGCUGUCUUCUUGACUGCUCUUGUUGGAAGGCAUGGGCUGGUUGGAAGGGGGGGCACUGGACUGGGAGCUAAAAGAAUCCUGGGAAAGUUCCUGGUGCGAGGAGAAAAACGUCAAAUCAAGCAGUUUGUCUUGAAUGUUUGGCUCCUUCUGCUAAUAAACAGAAUACAAGACAACCUAUUAGGCCGUAAGGUGAACCCGUUUUUCGUUCAAUCUCGUUCCCAUGUCCGGGCACUAAAUAAUUUUUGGUUCUUAAAAAAGAUAUUUUGGUUUUAUAUGAGAAAAAAAAAAUUCUCCACUGGACAUGCAGGCAAAAUUUUGGAAUUAGUGUUUAAAGUCGGGACUAUUUCUUGCUUGGCGUAACAAUAUUUUUGUCUCAAGAGGUGACGUUCUUGUCACCUGCUUCACAUUCGACCAAUCAGGUAGCCGCGCAGAUGGCGAUGUCAACAACGUCCGGCUAUGAAGAGGAAAAUGCUCUAAAACAGCUAAAACACCUUAAAACAUACAUGUUACGUCUGUUAGGAAUGAAGAGGUGAAUGAUUUCACGAUUGAUCCGUGUUAAGGAAAGAAUGAUUGGGGCCAUGUAUCGUGAGAUUUUGAGCCCAAACCUCCUUCCAUCAGUGAGAGCUUUGAAUGGUUGACCAAAUACUUAUUUUCCACCAUAAUUUACAAAUAAAUUCUUUAAAAUUCCUACAAUGGGAAUUUCUUGAUUUUUUUUCACAUUCUGUCUCUCACAGUUGAAGUGUACCUAUGAUGAAAAUUACAGACCUCUGUCAUCAUUUUAAGUGGGAAAACUUGCACAAUCGGUGGCUGACUAAAUACUUUUUUGCCCCACUGUAAAUCCUGUAUCGAUGUUGAAUUUAAAGAUAUUCCUGAUGACGCUAGGCUUUACCCGACUUAUUCCCGGCGGUUCAUUGAUAAGAAGCGUUUGGAUUCUGCCGAAAAACUGGCCAAACGGUUGGAUGUGGGUCAAAAAUGAGUUUGUGGCAUCGGACAACGCUUCGGGCUCGACAACUGGCAUUCUAAAGAAAAAACUAAGAUCGAAGACCGGCCUGCCUAUCGCUUCUGCUGGCCCUGUGCUCCCUGCCAUUUGUAUCAUUUGCAAGAAAACGGACGAGAGAAUUACCGUGGGAGGCAACCGGCAGAAGGACCAUUUUUCACAGGCAGAAACGCUUCCAGCAGAAGUGAACCAACCUUUGAUGCCAGCUACAACAUAUUCUGCGAGAGGAUCAUCCGCCAAAGGAUAAUUGUCAAUCAGGAGGUGUGCUGAGAAUGAAGCAGCUACGAGGAAUGUUUUUAAACAUGGUGCAAAAACAUGAGGAUUGUGAGGCUUCAAACUACAGGCAGGAUCAAUUAAAGAGAAGGCUGACUCUGGACUAUCCCCAACUGGUGUUUCAAGCGCAACAUCUGCGAACUGGUUUUUGUUGAAACAUUGUCUGCAGUUAAGCUGAUAGACAUGCAACCUCAUCCAUCAGGUACAGACACAACUGAGUCAACUGAAGUAAGCCAAGGUGAAAGUGACACUGCACACAUGGCAAGAACAGCAGCUGGUCCGCAAACUACUGAGAACACGAGGACACUUUAUAGUGCAGUGCUGAUAUUGAAGCAGCUACUAUGUGACUCUCACGGUAUGACGUGCCUCUGGCCACCCACAUCAGAUGAUUUAAAUGUGUCCCAUGCCAAAUCUGUUAUGCCACUUGAACUGUACAAUAUUAUUGCUUGGAUUGUAGGUGCAGCAGAAGAACCAACAUUAGCCUGUUAUGUUGAUAUUCCAGAAGAUGUGGACCUAAAAGUGUUAUCUGUUUGUCAAGACAUUUUGUAUCUUGCAUCUAAAGGUCAGAGGCAGACACCCACAUAAAAGCACAUGGGAAGAUGGCUCUGAUGAUAGUGAAAGCUAAGAGAUGUACAAUGUUUCCCUCGUUCAGAAUACACAAAGUCACACUUAAUCAGUUAGCUCUCUAAUAAAAAUUUUAGUUUUUGCCCCAUUUGAGAAAAAUCACUCAGAGUAUUUUACUGUUUCUUUUUUUGAGUUACCUAAGUUAAAUACUUUAAAAAUAGAAUGUGAGGUUGCAGUGCACUUGACCUUAAAAAAAAUAUAAUAAUCAUAGUAUGAGUUUGUGCCAAAUUUGAGGAAAAUCUAUCAAAGAAUUCUUGAGAUAUGGCUUUAACAAUGUGCUAAUUGAAGACAAAAUAACAAAACAAUAUAUGUAUAAAAAUACCCAAGACCUGCUGUGACAACUCAUUGUUUGGUUCAUGUAAAUAUUGUUUUAUACCAUAUUCAGAUUCUGAACUGUAAUGCAGUUUUUGUCGUAUUUCCAUUUUUUGGCAUUAUUCAAUAUUUUGAUUGUUAGCCAUUUUCGGCCAAAGUGUUCUUUAUUUUAUUUUAUUUUUUACUUCCUCUUAUAACACAGUGUUUACUGAAAUUUUUAAUGUAUAAAACAUUAUUGUUAAGCAAAAUGUACCAUGUUUAUGUUCAAUUGUACAGUUUGCUAUUCACUUACUUUGAAGCGUUUUUUUCAUUUGUUUUGUAUGUUUCAUGGUUUAAAUUCAAAUUAA
Molecule: long non-coding RNA, 6781 nt
Organism: Nerophis ophidion (straightnose pipefish)
Lineage: Eukaryota; Metazoa; Chordata; Actinopteri; Syngnathiformes; Syngnathidae
Exons: 4
Source: RefSeq, a predicted model, not a curated record